Lycium ferocissimum is the source of this 3501-nucleotide RNA transcript. RefSeq lists it as uncharacterized. The record is from RefSeq and is a predicted model, not a curated record. NCBI's taxonomy places the organism in Eukaryota, Viridiplantae, Streptophyta, Magnoliopsida, Solanales, Solanaceae. The transcript has 11 exons.
GGAUACUAAUAAAUCUAGAAGCUAUAAAAACGUGAGUUGUCUAUUUAAAACGGAAUACAUUUCCCCUUUCCCGCACAAAAAGAUCACACUCAUUCUCUUCCAGUGUGUGUACAGUACAGUAGUGAGCAGAACCGAGCCCUAAUCUGUACGAAUAAUUCCAAAAUUCUUUACGAUGUCGUCCAUCGCAGCACCGCCGCCGACGGCAGUCUCCGGCGGCGGUACAAGCGAGGACCGCCGGCAAAUCAACGGAGAGAAUUCGGACGGCGGUACAACUAUCGCGAUGCAGAGAAAGCGAGCUCGAAGAGUGAGUUUUGCUGAGAUGACAUCUGUACACUUCUUCGACCGUGAUGAAGAGUACGAAACACCUCCUGACCAGAGCAAAGCUGAAAUUAACAGUGAGCGUGAAGAGAUGGUGAACUUAGGUUUUGAUGAUCAAUUGGUAGAUGAGGAGUUUAAAGAGGAAGAAGAAGGAAAUGAUGAGGAUGAGGAUGGUGAGAUGGCGGUUUCUAGGUCGUUUUUAAGACCGAUGGAAUCGCCUUCUCCUGGAAGUAAUUUUGGUUCUGCUACUUCAAAUGAUGAAGAUAAUUUUUUCGGCCCAGUAUCUCCCAAUUUUAUAAGGCCAGGCCGGCUAUCAGAUUCAGCAGCGUCAGACGAAAAUCAUGAUAUUACUAUGGAUUCAACAGCUUUCUCCAUGCACUUCCGUAGAUUUGUUAGAUCAGAUUCAGGGAUAGACUUGAAGACCCCAACAGAAGUAUCAUUCGAAGAGAAAACACCAACACAGACCAGUCAGCGUAGUUCGAUGGAACUGACAAUGGCCAAGGAGCCAAUUUCUCAAUCUUCUAUGCCCGUUGCCAAUUUUAGUGGCAUUAGUGAUUCGAGUGACAUGAGUCUGAUUGGAGAAAACUCGCGAAGAUAUGAUUACGGGAGACUCUCUCCGGAUUUAGAAGCUCUUUUAGCAGAAGGCCAAGAGAGAUCUCAUGCAGUUUCUGUUUCAGGAGACACCAGUGUUUCAAAGUCACCAACAAGCAAGAAAAUGGAGGUUAGAAGUACAGUGACAGAUUUAGGUGGAAAUGGAGAACAAGAAGCAAAUGCAGUUGUUAGUCGUAAUAUGCAACUUGGACCUUUGUGCCAGGAAAUCGACGCAGAUGAUGGUUAUAAGUUUCCUUCUCAUGUUGUUGAUGGUGAUUCUGUGCUUAGAUCCACUGUUCCAGCUCCGGAUAAUUAUGUUGAUAGAGUAAAUCAGUCGCCGAAGCAGUUAAGUAAUGAUUUUGGUGAGAAUAAUAAGUCUGUCAAGGAUGAUUCUGUGGUAGGAAAUAGUGAAACCCUAUGUAGUAACAAUGGUGAGCUUGGUGAAUUUUGUUGGUCCCCAUGUGGCGCGGAAUCUCCAUUGGUGGAUUUAGUGUCCUCCUCACCAGCUACGCAAAGACUAAUAAUUCUGCGUAGUCCUUCACCAGUCAAACAGAAUUCAAUCACAAUGUCUUUCCUGGAAGAUCCCAUUUCCUUUUUGAGCAAUGAAAAGAGAGGAACUUGGACAGGUUCAGCAUCCCUCCAGAGGAGCAUUUCCAAACUUGAGAGACUUAAGGCUUCUGCACUCUCUUCUUCUCGUGGUGACAGAAUCCACAAUAUGGGCAUCAGAGCUUUAGAAUUUCCAAAAACACCACCUUUGGAUUCUAUAUUGAAGAAAAGGAGCCUAGAUGUGGGAGUCAAAUGUCUGGAUGCCUCUAGGACUUGUACAGAGGAGCAAUUUUCAGGUACUUUUAUGGAGGGAGAAAGAAAAAUCUUCACAUCGGGUGGCAGUAAAAGUGAGGCUCUUUCAAGUAGUGAUGAUGUAAUUCAAUGUGAACAAUCUCAUGGUCCUGAAAAGCAGGGGAAAUCUCUCAAUCAGCUUGAUGCUUGUAUUCUCCCCAUGGAUCAACUGGUCAAGCUUACAGACCCCUCAUCUUCGUCAAGGUUUUCUUGGUCAGGGAAGAAAAGUGACACUUUUACACCCGAUGACCUCAGGCACAAGAUAUCACUGAUUUCUAGAACUGAUUCCCCAUUGGUUGAUAAUUUAGGGCAGGAGAAAGUGACUGCUAUUGCUCAAAAGUUGUUUUCUUCUCCAAAAAAGUCUUUGCAGUCAAAGUCAUCAACAUGGACUGAACAUCAGUCUAGCCCCUUUAAAGAAUCAAAGUUGCAUGAUGAACAUGCGAAAAGCUUUGGCCCUGUAAAAAAUGCAUCUUCAAUAGGUAAUGUGACAGAUGGACCUUCUUCGACUGGAACGGCUGGCAACUGGCAUUCUUCCUCCACACUAACUGAAGAACUUUCACCAGUUGUUGAAGGCAGCAACGUGUUAAGGCAACCAGACGGGACUGAGAGCACAGAAGCUAAGCUCCUUGAUCAAAUGAAUGAACUGAGAAGCAAUGAAGACUCAAGAAUCUCCACGGAUGGGAGCUCUCAUCUAUCUUCAGCAAUGCCAGAUGGGAAUAUUCAGAGUGAAGCCGGCAUCCCUAGAAUUGAAAUUGAUCCUCAAGAGCAAUCUCCUACAUUCAAUCAAUCAGCUGGAAGACCUAAAAACUCUUCUGCCCAUAAAAGAAGCAGAGAAGAGUUGACAUUUGGAGAUAUGGAACACACAGAUGAAAUUAUCACGUCUCAAAGGAGCCCAAAACUCCAGAGAGGUGUUGGUAAUAAUCCAGGAACCUUGGGACAUCCUGAUGAUAUUGGACAAGAAAUGGUCGGAGCUCAUCCUGAACUCAGACAGUGGAAAGAUAUUAUUUCCAAAUUUAUGAUCGAUGCAGAUGAGUGGAUAUCGUUGCCAAAAGAAAGGCUUACUAUGCCAGCGAUUGAUUUGGUGGAAGACAUUGUCAGCCGGAUGCAGAAGGCAAAAACUUACGAGAUUUUGCACAGUCAAAUUCUCACUCAGAAAACGUCAGUUUCCAAUUUUCAGGAGAAAAGAGCUGUUGAAGCAAUAAUGUUGUUAUGUCAGCUUCUACAUGAGAAAGCAAAGUUUCACUUGAGGCAUGUGAAGAAGGAGAAACUGCUGGAAAAGUGUCAACUGUUGAAUUCUGGAAUUCAGAAGUCUCAAAUGUCAAACAUCAAUCAUUUGCUUCAUAAUUCUGUAACUGUCUCAAGAGGCACACUGGGUGAUGCAAUUUCUAGUGAGAGCUCAUCAGCCUGUGAAAAAGCUGUACAGGAGGUGCCUAAUAAUAAAGUAGCCACUAUCAAGGAGGCUUUGGAAGUUUCAGAAAGAAAAGUUGUAAAUUUGACUAGAUCUUUGCAUUCAUCCUUGAAACUUAAGGGAGAACUGAAUCAGCCGAUACCAUCAUUUCCGUAAAAGAACAUUUAAUGAGGAGAUCGUGUUGUAGAUUCCUACGUCAAGAUAUGCAGAUGUGUGUCAUUCAGAAUGUGAGGAAAAGGAAUGGCCAUUACGAUGUCAUCCUCAACUAUCUCGGUUUGCUGGUUCAAAGUUUGAAGGUGACUGUUGGUCCAGACUCCAGCAUCAGCAUCUCUAACAAUUUAAAUGAU